AUGGGUGUGAGGGGCCUCAUCCCUGCGGUCCCACCUGCAAGCAGGGCCCUGUCCGAGGGCUGCCCCUCCCCUCCCGGGCCCUCAGGAGCCGCACGUGGGACAAACCGGGAGCCCGCACCGUUAGGGCUGGACGAGAGAGGCCCCGCAAGGCCCCUUCGGCGAGGAACCGCGCCGCGCCCGCCCACACGGCGGAGGACGCCAGGCCAGGCCGGCCCGGGCCGGGCCCCGUCACCACCCCCUCCGCCAUUUCCCGCCCGCGGUCCCGCUCCCCGCCGGAAGGGCUGCGCGCAUCGCCGCGCCAUGGGCGGAGGCGGAAGUGACGGAACGGCGUGCGCGAAGCCCGCCGGGAGCUAUAGUGCGGCGGAGCAGCCGGGCGGGGAGCGCGCAGAGUGGGCCGGACUACAGCUCCCGGCGGCCCCCGCGGAUGGGCAGAGCGCGCGCGCGGGCCGGAAGUGCGUGAGGCGGAGGGGGCGCCUGGUGCGGAGGGGCCGCGGCGAAGCGGCGCCGGUGAGUGCAGGGACAUCGGGGAGUCCGCGGGGUCCCUGCCCCGCCCCGCGCGCUGCCACCGGGAGCUUUCCUUACCCCCGUCCCCCUCCCCGAGCCAUCAGCAGCCGCCUCGCCCCGCCUCUGCCCACUCCCCCCUCCCGCCCCUCCUGGGCCUCACCGCGGCGCUGCAUUCCCCCCCCCCCCCUUCCCCGGUGUCGUGGCCCCGCAUGUCCCCGGGCGAGGCUCGUUCGCUGCUCCCGCGACCGCUCUGGCCCGGCCCCAGCGGCGCCUCGUGGUGGGCCUGGGCCCGGCCAGGCCUUGGCGCCUCCUCGCGGCCCCGGCGCCGGUUGGGCCCGCCCGGGCCUUUCCCGAGGCCGCUCGUGUUCCGCUGGGCUCUUCGCAGACUGUUCCUCUGUCCCAUUCCCGGGGAUCCCUGUCCUCCGCCUCUGGGCCGCGCCACCGGAGUUUCCUCCCUGCGUCGGUCUGUCCCGGAGGUCCCAUCCCGAUGUCCGGGGCUCCGCGUGCUGCCGGCGGCUCGGGAGGCGGGCGGGGCCGGGGCUGCGGGAGCGGCAGCUCGGGGAGGCCGCAGCCGUGACCUCGCGUCCCAGCCCCAGUUGGUGUGUGGCUCCCGCACCGGCGCUCGGCACCGCCCGUUUCCCGGUGCAGCAGGAGGGAUGUGUGCUCUUACGCUGCCUGCUCUGCGUCUUGCUUUAA
Molecule: long non-coding RNA, 1200 nt
Filed under: Corvus moneduloides (New Caledonian crow)
Lineage: Eukaryota; Metazoa; Chordata; Aves; Passeriformes; Corvidae
Description: lncRNA (ENSCMUG00000017306.1)
Source: RNAcentral